AACGAACGCUGGCGGCAUGCCUAACACAUGCAAGUCGAACGAGACCUUCGGGUCUAGUGGCGCACGGGUGCGUAACGCGUGGGAACCUGCCCUUAGGUUCGGAAUAACUCCCCGAAAGGGGUGCUAAUACCGGAUAAUGUCUUCGGACCAAAGAUUUAUCGCCUUUGGAUGGGCCCGCGUUGGAUUAGCUAGUUGGUAGGGUAAAAGCCUACCAAGGCGACGAUCCAUAGCUGGUCUGAGAGGAUGAUCAGCCACACUGGGACUGAGACACGGCCCAGACUCCUACGGGAGGCAGCAGUGGGGAAUAUUGGAAAAUGGGCGAAAGCCUGAUCCAGCAAUGCCGCGUGAGUGAUGAAGGCCUUAGGGUUGUAAAGCUCGUUUACCCGGGAUGAUAAUGACAGUACCGGGAGAAUAAGCUCCGGCUAACUCCGUA
Molecule: ribosomal RNA, 433 nt
Filed under: uncultured bacterium
Lineage: Bacteria
Description: partial 16S ribosomal RNA
Rfam family: Bacterial small subunit ribosomal RNA
Source: RNAcentral